Molecule: long non-coding RNA, 211 nt
Filed under: Mytilus galloprovincialis (Mediterranean mussel)
Lineage: Eukaryota; Metazoa; Mollusca; Bivalvia; Mytilida; Mytilidae
Source: RNAcentral
UGUAGUAAAUGUGUUAAAUCGGAGAAAUAGGAACCAUGCAUUUCGCAUUUUUUCUUGGUGUUGGAAUAAUUUUGCUCCAAAAGGUGCUUUCAAAAUCCAUAAAUAAUGGAACAACAGUUGAAAAUAGAACGGAUGCCUUGGAAAAGUAUUUUGAAACAUUGUUGUCAAGGUUUAACAAUUUGAGUGACACAAUGAAUAACCUCCAAAAUAG